Molecule: transfer RNA, 72 nt
Filed under: Acrasis kona
Lineage: Eukaryota; Heterolobosea; Eutetramitea; Acrasida; Acrasidae
Description: tRNA-Met
Rfam family: tRNA
About the family: Transfer RNA (tRNA) molecules are approximately 80 nucleotides in length. Their secondary structure includes four short double-helical elements and three loops (D, anti-codon, and T loops).
Source: RNAcentral
AACGAUAUAACUCAGUGGUAGAGUAUUGAAUUCAUAAUUCAGGAGUCAAAGGUUCAAAUCCUUUUAUCGUGA